Macaca mulatta (Rhesus monkey) is the source of this 284-nucleotide non-coding RNA. Lineage: Eukaryota; Metazoa; Chordata; Mammalia; Primates; Cercopithecidae. The record is from RefSeq and is a predicted model, not a curated record.
GAAAACAAAUGUUGGAACUAUUGCUUGAGCCUGAGAGGUCUAAGCUGAAGUAAGCUGUGGUUGCAUCAUUGCUCUCCAGUCUUGGCAAGGCUUUUUGUUGCCGGGGCGUCAGAAGUGGAUUGAAGGAUAAGCUUCUUUGGCAUUUUCCAUGUUUAUUAUCAUGCUAUCUACAAAUAAGGACAGUUUAUUUCUUUUUUUUUCUGUGUAUCUUAUAUUUCCUUUACUUGUCUUUUUGUGCUGUCUAGAUGUUCCUGUACUAUACUUAAUAAAAGUGAUAAAAACAG